ACGGAGGGUGCGAGCGUUGUCCGGAUUUAUUGGGUUUAAAGGGUGCGUAGGCGGGCGCUUAAGUCAGCGGUGAAAUCCCACAGCUCAACCGUGGAACUGCCAUUGAUACUGGGCGCCUUGAGUACCGUUGGGGUAGGCGGAAUUUAUGGUGUAGCGGUGAAAUGCGUAGAUAUCAGGAGGAACACCGAUGGCGAAGGCAGGUCUCUGGGCUGACACUGACGCUCA
This 225-nucleotide ribosomal RNA is filed under the name uncultured prokaryote. RNAcentral describes it as "partial 16S ribosomal RNA". It matches the Rfam family "Bacterial small subunit ribosomal RNA", at positions 525 to 749 of the family's 1533-position model. The record is from RNAcentral.